AACAUUCAAUAGAGAGUGAUGAUAAAUAUUUUUUUUUCCAUUUCAUUCGUCAAUGACACUUACUUACAAAUUUCAAAAAUCUUUUGAUUGUCGCCAAAGUAAUUGUUGAAACUCAUCAUUUACUGUGUGAGUGCAAGAAAGAUCAUUAUCUUUAUUUUCUUCGUGUCAGAAACAGAUCAAAAUGAUACUGAAAGCAGUUGACAUUAUAAAAGUUUUUAUUUUUAAAAAUAUAUUAUUUGUGAUGGAAAAAAAAAAAAAAUACUUUUUGCAAUAAAUUUUUUAAAUUAAUAUUCUAUUUGUUUUUAUAAAAGAAAAAUAAACUUGUUUCAAAUCUGCUACUUCUUUAUUUUUUACAGAAAUGAUUAAUUAACAAUUUAUUGGGUAGUGCAAGAUGAAAGGUAGUGUACAUAUUUAAUUAAACUGAGUUGACAAUCUGUGGAUUACUUGAAGACAACACAUGACUUAAAUCCGUACUCUGGUAUUUCUUAACAAACAGUAAUUAGUCAUGCUAAAAUAAUUGAGCUAAUAAUUAUUAGCGAUGAUCUUUAAGCUGUCAUCAGUUUCAUUUCGCUUGACUCAGAGUUUAAAAAGGUGCAAACUGUUGAAGAAUGAAAUCUGCUACGUUAUGACAAUGAAUAAAUAAAUUAAAAAACUCAUUCAUAAUUUGGUGUAAGGUAAUGAAGACGAAUCAGAAGUUAACAUGAAACAGAGAGGCCAAAAAUCACCUGAAAAGGAUCCUAAUAAUUGUUUAGAAGAAGCCAACGACUUGUAUUAAAAAAUUUUGUAUUGAAUCAUUCAUUAUGGAGAAAAGUUUAUGGUAAAAGUUACAGUAUACUAUGGAAAUGGUUUACUCUUGAAAAAGUAAAUCAGACAGUUCUUAAACCAGUUUAUGCUGAUAACCCCUCAAAGCAUGAUAAUAAAAGUGGCAUGAUACUGAAAGAAUUGAUCGAUCAUAAUGCACCCUCAGCGUUUUCGCGCUUGAGGUAUGCAAUCGCAGACGUCAGAUAACUUAUUUGGUUUUAUAUCCAAAUUUCUUUUCUGAAAAAAAAAAAAAAAAUUAAAAACGCACAGUAAUAUUUCUAAAAGUCAUUUGAUAGAAUUUAAAAAAAAAUUUUUUUUUUUCAAUUUAUUUCUUCAAAAAUUCAGUGAUACUGAAAGUAGCCGACGUCUAAUAAUUUUUGAAUUUUUUUAAAAAAACGUAAAUUAUAAAAAAAUACAUUUUAAAAAAUUGCACCUAUAGUUUUUUCAAUGUCUUACAUGUGCAUAUUUUUACUUAAUUUUUUUUUUCUUUCUUUGUAAUUAAUUUGAUGAAAAAAAAAAUACGAAAAUUAUGAGUUGUCUGGUAACUUCAGGAUCAUAAAAUUCAUAAUAAAAUUUCCCGUUGCCUAUCACUUUUAUUAUCAUAAAGUAUUGUCCCAAGAAAAUUUUUUACUUGGAUUGAGAAAUUUUACGCAUGAUAAAUUAAAGACAAAAAUUUUUUUGGUCGAGAAAACUUUUUUCGGAGCAAGAAAAAAAUUCUUCGGGCACGGUCUGAGAAUACCCUUAAAGUUUUAAAACAAAAAUUUUAAGCAUGAUUUAAUUGUAAAAGUGAAUAAUUAAAUAAUUCAAAUGGCUGCAAAUCAAUUCCAAUAAACUACGGCCCCACCAUCAAAGAACAGUUGCCGGAGAAUGCUGCUAAAGUUUGCGGCGAGUACAUGGCUCGUGACCCAGAAGAAGUCCGCUUCACAAUGAUUGCCCUGGUGGCCAGUGAGCUGUUAUUCACAAUAAUUCAACAAAUGAUUAUCAAAUAAUCCUUUCUUAUAACUAAGAAAAAUAUUUAAAAUAUCAAAAUUGGAUAUUACAAUUAUUAUGACAAGGAAUUAAAUCAAAUCAAAUAACUCAGUAUGCAAUCAAAUUCCGAAUGAAUUUUUAUUUGAUAAUUCAUGUAAAACUUUGUUCUAUAAAUAAUUGUGAUCUUUUUUUAUACACAUGUAUUUAACGGUACUUUAAAUUUAAAAUAAAAUUAAAAAUAAUUAUUUUACAAAAGAAACUCUUUUAAUUUUAAUUUUUAAUUUAUAAAAGUUUAUUAGAGUGAAAUAAUGAAUCCUAGUAAUGGUAGUGAAUAUAAAUUUUAAUUUAUAUCCUGUAACUGCGCUCGUUUGAUUAAUUAAUUGUUACUUUAAUGUCAAUUAAAAAUUGAUAAUAAUUAUUAAUAAUAAGAAGAUGGCUAGUGAAUAAGUGAAUACUGGAUUACGGGUCAACAAACAAAUGCUUCAUUUUUUUUCUUUUUAUUUUAAAUGAAGAAAAUUAAUAUCGGUUAUAGAUUGUAUUGAUAGUGCAGGUUUUAAUGCACAAUCAGCGACCCCCUUCUACUAUCCUAGCCAACUAUAAAACUUUAUGUCAAUAAAUAUAAUAA
Long non-coding RNA from Microplitis mediator, 2395 nucleotides. RefSeq lists it as uncharacterized. The record is from RefSeq and is a predicted model, not a curated record. The transcript is spliced from 4 exons. NCBI's taxonomy places the organism in Eukaryota, Metazoa, Arthropoda, Insecta, Hymenoptera, Braconidae.